CUUCAGCGCGCCGAGCAGCAGCGGCCGGUCGGCGGGCCGGUCCUGGCCGUACGUGGCGAGGAGUGCCUGGGCCUC
Molecule: non-coding RNA, 75 nt
Organism: Streptomyces alboflavus
Lineage: Bacteria; Bacillati; Actinomycetota; Actinomycetes; Kitasatosporales; Streptomycetaceae
Rfam family: ASpks TB sRNA
Source: Rfam